This is a long non-coding RNA of Gossypium arboreum, 285 nucleotides long. RefSeq lists it as uncharacterized. NCBI's taxonomy places the organism in Eukaryota, Viridiplantae, Streptophyta, Magnoliopsida, Malvales, Malvaceae. The transcript has 2 exons. The record is from RefSeq and is a predicted model, not a curated record.
UGUUAUUUUAGAUCAAGAAAGACGUGGAAUCGACCUCAAUCGAGGAAAAGAAAAGAUUGUGGACUAAAUUGCAAAAUCUUUGUAUUUUGGUACCAAGUUUUGGACAAGCCAGCUCAGGAGUCGGGAUAGGUCGAAGGCUCAGUCACACUAUCCAGAAGAUUUUUGGUAAAUGGCUUGUAAAUUUAAGUAUGGCAUGUAUAGCAAUAUACCCAUUUUGUGUAAAUGAUCUUAUGGUAUGGUUGUGAAAUGGUUGAGGAAAUGCUUGAUAAUGAUAAAUUAGGAAAA